CACAGUGACACACUCUUAAUGUAAAAUGUACAUUACAGAAAUAGCCUUUUUUGAUUUUUUUAAACAUCCAGUCAAUUAUUUGACGUCGUCAUGAUAUUUCAAAUAUCUACGUACGACAGUGUUUAUGUAUGUCGAGGAUAGUCACCGUCUGAACGACAUAGUCGACAUUAAAGAAUCAAGUGCACGCUUGAAUUGAAUUGAAACCGAUUUAAGCGUCUGUUGAUUAACAGCUGGGCAGCAGUCAUGAUUAUAAUAAAAAAAGUUUCACUUGGCAAAGAUUUUGAAAAUUCUUGUAUCUACCAGCAAGCAAAGUUCAGAAAGGUGUUAUGAAGAUAAAGUAUAAACCUAUGUAUCCAAUGCCAGAUCCCAAAACACCAAGUCACUACAUAAACUCAGUGAACAAAGAAAGUGUGUGUAUGUUUAAAUCCUCCUUCAUCGACAUUUAUGACAAAAUUUUACACUUUGUGUAAAAUAUAAACUCAUAGACAACAGUAUUCAGAACGUGACUAAUCAAAUAAUGCUUCACAUUGGUGAAGUUGAGCAAAAUGCUUUAAAUAAACAGCCCAAAGUCCUCAGAAGGAUAAGAAAAUGCUGCAACCCAGAAAAAUAACAUCAAACAUUACCUCAUAUUAAAGAUAAACAUAACAUGAUGUAGUCAUUGUUUUGAAGCUUUAUUGAUGCUCAUUUGAUUUUUCCAAAUGAUUAUAUAGACAAAGAUAUUCUGUGGUACUGGUGUCAUAAAGUUGAAGGGCAAAGUUGUAUGAUUAAAUUGCUCCAUGGGAAAUUUAGGAGAUCAGAGAUUUUCCAUUACAUGUGGUUUGUCCAGAUACAAUUCAUGGUCUACACAAUUUACUGGCAUUAAAAGUUUUGCCUGAAA
Long non-coding RNA from Xenia sp. Carnegie-2017, 877 nucleotides. RefSeq lists it as uncharacterized. The transcript has 2 exons. The record is from RefSeq and is a predicted model, not a curated record. Lineage: Eukaryota; Metazoa; Cnidaria; Anthozoa; Malacalcyonacea; Xeniidae.